Small nucleolar RNA from Rhododendron vialii, 88 nucleotides. RefSeq annotates it as small nucleolar RNA snoR126. The record is from RefSeq and is a predicted model, not a curated record. NCBI's taxonomy places the organism in Eukaryota, Viridiplantae, Streptophyta, Magnoliopsida, Ericales, Ericaceae. The transcript has a single exon.
AGGCGAUGAAGAUAGAAAUCGUUUCUCGAUGCUGAUUUUUGAUCAUUAGAUCACAUUCUGAUGACCUAUUUGUGCGUGUCUGAGCCUU